CACAGACUUCUCAUUUCCCCUGCCCGAGAAGCACCCACCUUCCCCUCCUUCUUCGGAAAACAGUACCCCAAUUUACUUCAUAGAGGAUAUUCGCUCCUACCAAGGGUGAUCAUGUGACCAAGGCUAGCCAAUGAGAUUCUUCCUGAGCUCAGGUCUCCCAGCUAGUGCUCCCGGAUAGGGCCCCAGCAAGGGCGAAUGGUCUCUCUGCGGCCUCAUUCUACAUUCCAAAAGGUGGCCAGCAACUCCUGCUCAGAGACCCCCAGAGACUUCCAGACUGUGUCCUGUGCUGUUCUAAGCCCAGCCCUCAGUGCCCUCCAGAUGAAUCCAGUUCCUGAGGCAAGCAUGGGGCGCAGGUGGCUCAAGACUGACCAGCCCCGUGCCCCUGGGGCAUCAGGAGGAUGACCCCCUCCGCCAGCUACCGUGGGAAAGCGUGAAUCUAACCAGCUCUGCUUCAAGCUUGUUCUCUGCCAGCCACAACAGGUUUGGGCUUCUAGGCCCUGAGGAACAGUCACCUUCCAGCAAGGGCAGACUCUGUUCCUUUCGAGGUCAAUCUGCAGGCUUCUUUCCUGGGCAACUGCAGGGCUGGGCCGAGCUCUAAUAAGACCAAGGUCCCACCACACUGGGCUCACUUUUUAAGUGAGGGGAGAGGAGACAGAGAACAAAUAAGAGAAUUCCAGAGGAAACAAUGACAUUAGAGAUGAGACCCCAGGAGCCAGAUGUGGCAUUAGACAGUGCCAAGAACAAGUGCCUAGUCUUGGGGUUGGAGACCGCUUUACCGCAUCCGAGAAGAGAGAAGAGGCCAGUGUGUGGGGAGUGGGGGAGGGCAGGCAACAAGCUUCAAGAGUCUGAGAGGUAAAUGGGCAAAUACAGCCAACCCUGCCCUAUAAGCUAAGAAAGAAUUCUCAGAUAUAAGCAGGAAAUAGCUACAACGGUGACCACUGGAAGCCAGGUUUUCUGUAGCCAGGACCUUGCGCCCAGGUAUUGACCUGGGUCCCCACAGAGACUUGGGGGAACAGACUGCUAUGGCUGUUCAGGUUUCCACCGGAGGCAACAGCCCCUCAGAGGGGCAGAGGGGCUGGCCCACCUGCACACAGCUCUUGAAAGGCCAAGCAGAGCAAGGCAGUCUGAUUGGAGCCGCCAUCUUUGAUUGCGACACCAUGGCCUCUGGGAUGUCUCUUUUACCUCUGUUCCAUGUAAUCCUGGUGAGAUGACAGUGAUCCCAAGGUCACCCAGACACACUUGGCCCUUCUUGUGACAAAGGCUGCACCCAGUGUCACAGCAGGGCCGGGGAGGGACAGGAGCGACAGGCAUCUUUAGGGUGUAUGUCUCCAGUCUCCAAAUCUGCAUUUAAACUGUCAUUCACAGGGAGCCUCUCCUGGCCCAAGAGGGUACCCCGGGGCUAUGUGAGAACAUCUGAGGCACCACAGGACUAACUCAAGUAUGGAGGCUGGUUUUGGUUUUGGGGAACAGAAUCUCAUGUAGAUUCUGGCCUCAAACUCCCGAUGUACGAGCGAUUGCCUGCCUCAGCCUCUGGGGGGGGGGGCGGGAUCACAAGUGCGCACCAGGAGGCCGGAGGGGUUCCAGUACAAUUUCCUCACUUCUGCCAGACACUGCUGCAGAGGAGAAAGCUGCUAGCAGCUCCCAGAGCCUAGAAAAGGGCUGUCGCCCACAAACAAGACCACUGUUGAGUGGUUUUUACCUCCAGAUAAACUAAAGGGAGGGCAAAAUUCAUUUUUCCUUUCCUUUCUUUUCUUUUCUUUUCUUCUCUUCUCUUCUCUUCUCUUCUCUUUUCUUUUCUUUUCUUUUAGAGACAGGGCCUCUCAAUGAACCUGGAGCUCAAUAAUUCAGGCCAACCAGCUUUGGGGGUCCGCCUGAUUCUGCCCCCAUUGUGCUGGGAUUAUGGGUGCUGCCGCCACACUUUGGGUCUUUACACAGAUGCUAAGGAAUCCCAGUGCAGGUCCUUGUGGCUUCUUGGCAUGAGGGUUAUCCACCCAGUAAAGUCUCCUCAGCUGCUAGAAAAUGUUUAUAGUCAUGUUGGCCAAGCAUCCUGCUUCGAGGUGCCCCUCUGCACAAUGUGGGCACUUUCCCUGCUCAGGUGUCCCGCCCAGGUGCUGGGCUGCAGUGUGUUCAGUGUGUUUAAUUAUAAGCCACUCUGCCUUUGUUUUCCCUUUCAUUCCUAAUCAGGGUAUUUCAUUGAUGACUGUGCAGAUAAGUUAUCUGCGAGUCCCUUCCAGGUAAACCUCCCCUCAAAGCACUCGCUAAAACCAGAAGGUGUUUGAUCUGUUGGUUUGGAAAGCUUUGAGGCUAAGACUAUCAGCAGAACCCCGUUUAUCCUUCCUUCCUUCCCCGAGUUUGGUUUAGAAUCCAGUACAACACCCAGCCAGGGGCCAGUGAGACACCACAAAGCCUGCGGCAGGGUGAGCUUCAGAAGGAUUUUGUUCUUUGGAAAAUAAGAGAUAGAAUAAAAGUUCUGUCCUAUAUCCCUACUUUGAAGGGAGAUUUGAUGAUUGGAGCUGUGGCCAAGAGACAAGAAGGUCAAAGACAUGAAGGACAGAGGGAGAGUUAGACAGCAGAAAACUGACAACAUCGUCACAAGAUGUUUUCAAAAGACAAGACUCGGCCUCUCCACUACUUCGAAUGUUUCGUUGUGUGGGGAAGAGAAACUUCAAUUGCCCAGAUCGCUAAGCCAGGGAUUCCAUUUUACUAUAAGAAAGCAAGACGACUAGACGCUGAGCUAUCUCGACGACCUUGGCCAGCUUCCCUGUUCUCCGAACACCCCCACCCCCCACCCCCUUGCAGCUGACCUUAGAAGUCUGCGCAUGGCAUGGGUCUCCAGAGCUUGAAGACAGGUAGGGCUCACCAAGCACGGAUCUCCACCUCUCUGGCUACCAAGGUGGGUCAGACUCCUGCUGGGUUCCAGCCGUGGGCCCACAAGAAAAGCUUUCAGCAGCUUACUUCCCAGACACAUCUGGCAUCCACCUGGCCAAACACAUCUUAUGUCCCUGCUCGAGGUCCCUCAGUCUAUGGCCUCAGCCUCCCCUACCCCGAGGCCCCACAGGCGUGCUUAGCUUAAGGAUUCAAGUCUGGGCUGGAAUGGAGGGCUGUCUCCAGUGGGGCCCAGUGUGUAAAGCAGGGGGCCACGUCUUUCACAACAGGCAGUUAUGAGUCUGGUGCCCCUGCCACUGGGCCCAUGUGUGUUUUGCAAUCCUACCGAGACUGGAAAUGUAAAACACUGGUUUGUGAGAAUCUAGCAAAGUGCUGGGCUCAGCUGCAGAGGUGGCUUGGAAGGUUGAUCUACUCGGGAAGCCUUGUGCCACCUGCCAGGGUAUAGGUACCCCCAACCCCCACCCUGCUGUAGCGGUGACUUCCGUCCGCCAAUCACCCAGGAGCGAGGCAUCACGGGAAGCUCAGUCAGCGCCUUCUAGUGCUCUUGGGAACGUAGAGGGGAGUGAGUGGGGUGUCCAAAACUAUUCACCCAAUAGGUGUGUGACAGCCCUGGGGGCGGGAGACCAUACAAGCGAAUACAAUAUGAGUUCUCCCUUGUGAGCAAGCCCAGCCUCACGGUUAAGUUAAAAUAACUGGGAAGUGCAACAGCUCUCAAGUUCAGGCCUUCAGCAGAUGACAGACACACACAUCCAAGACACGAGAGGUGUCCAGGGGUCUAGAGAACCAGCGGGCUCAGUCCUCCCUAACCUUCCUUCCUGCUCGCUCCCCACACUGCUUGGGAACCACCCAUCCCAGGCCCUCGGGGCAUGGCACUUGGCACUCUGGUCACUGUCACUCUGGUCACUCUUUGGGCAGGGCUCUCCUGAGCAGGAUAAAGUCCCGAUGGUCUCCACCCAGGGUGCCAUGUUUGUGACACUCAAAACUGUCUUCACCAAUACUGCGUGUCCCCUAGCCGGCAAGAGCACCCUUGUUUGAGAAUCAAUGACUCUUUCCUACUCUGAACCCUGGGCCCACUCGAGUCCUGCUGGCUCCACACCCCAAAUUUCUCUCCACGGCACCAACCCAUCACCAUGAUUCGGCCCCCUGGCUACUCUCUGUUACUCCUGUGGCCCUGAUGGUCCUGGGUAUCGUCUCCCCACUUCCUGGGCUUUUCGGAACACAGAUGGGCUCCUUCCUGUCUGACAGCUUCCCGUGGUUUUUCCAUGUCAUUUAAAAUAUAAAGUCUGAAUGUCAGCCACACUUCGGUCUCCAUUUCCACAACGCACGUGUGGCUCCCUACUCCCACUAGGCUUCUGUGUCCUGGACACGCUGUCCUCUAUACCCCAGGGCCUUUGCACAAGCUGUUCUCACCACCUCAAACGUUCUUUCCUUGGCUCUUCCCAAGGCCGGCCUCUUUCUUACACUUCAGGCCAUGGCUCAGAGAUCUCUUCUUCAGGGAGGCCUCUCUGGACCACCUCCCUGAAGGUGCCUCAAGGCGCUCUGCACUGGGGAAGGUGUCUUUUAUUUCAUUACUUUUUUUUUUUUCCCUAAGCCUGUUAUGAACAGCCUUGGCUGUGUCCCUGGUCACUGCCUGCUCUUGGGGCCUUGCCCCUUUGGAGGACCAGUUUCUCUCUUGCUGGGCUAGGCCCUCAGGCAGCACCUGGCUCUUGUCAAGUGCUCACUAGUGACAAGAGGUCAUCUGAUCUGUGCUGUACUUGGACCCAUGCUGUACUGGGAACCAUGCAGAACGUGAGCCCUUGUGGUAUUGGCCCUACGUGGGAUCAUGUGGUAACAGGACCUUCACAAUACCAAGAAGGCUGGCCUGUAAGAGGCAAGGGAGCUUUCGGCUCAUCUACAUACCGUCUUCUGCUGCCAUUACCAGAAGCAGACAAGGCUCUCUUCCCAAGCCUUUUGCUGACUUGAACGUGUGCGGGGUGCCUGCUCUCUCCAUGGGACUUAGACAAACACUUCAGGAUGAUUUUUGCAGUGGAGGGCCAGGUAAACUCAGCCCUUGGAAAGCCGUGGAUCAAAGCCAAGCUGCAGCUUUAUCCCCUGAAGCAGCUAAGAUAGGCUCUGCUUCCCAAGCACCCUGCAGAAAGGGGAGGGUGAUUCUCACCUCAGCCAGGAUGCUGACAGGACCUUCUGACCAUGGCUGCCCAUGCAGGUGGCUCCUUGCUUCCCAAAUGGCCAGGCUUACCUGUUCCAGGGGACCUCCUAUCUGUGGGGACCAAGCAGUCCUCUCUCCUCACUCAGAUCGUAAGUGUAACUUACUACCUCAGUCCGUGCACGGGUCAGUGGUCUCAUGGGAGGGCGUCUGGGGGCUUAGGGACUGUUACUGCAAAGAGGCUUGCUUCUGCUUUUUGGGCUGUGGCCACAGGGGUGAGAGGGCAGCCACACUGUGGUCCCGCCUGGGCAUCUCCGUAAUGACAAUGAUCCAGGUUUGCCUGGGACAGAUGCUAAUAAUCUCACUGUGGUCCAGGGACUCAGGGAAGGGAGUGAGGACCUACCCCCGGCACUUGUUGGAUGAGAACACAGAGGCACAGAACGGUUGAGUCACAUGCCCCCAUGUCAUUGCUGGGCAGGUGGCCAGACAGACCGGCUGUCUUAAACACCCAGGCUGGGGCUGCCAGAGACGGCAGCUUUAGUUCUGAGGAAGACACAGAGUGAAGUAGAGAAGCAGAGCGGAGACGGAAGAAUGGCGUCUGUGGCAAGUGCUGAGCCCCUGAUCCC
Rattus norvegicus (Norway rat) is the source of this 5655-nucleotide long non-coding RNA. RefSeq lists it as uncharacterized. Lineage: Eukaryota; Metazoa; Chordata; Mammalia; Rodentia; Muridae. The record is from RefSeq and is a predicted model, not a curated record.